This 6013-nucleotide long non-coding RNA is filed under the name Daucus carota (carrot). RNAcentral describes it as "long non-coding RNA (DCAR_LNC000412)". The record is from RNAcentral. Lineage: Eukaryota; Viridiplantae; Streptophyta; Magnoliopsida; Apiales; Apiaceae.
UGGAGAUUUGUAGAAAUAAGGUGGUGGAGGAGAGGGAGAUGGUGGUGGUGGGGACUUAUAAAUGUAUGGUGGAGGUGGUGAUGGGGACGGAGGUGGAGGAGAUUUGUAAAUAUAAGGAGGCGGAGGGGAAGGGGAUGGUGGUGGUGGGGAUUUAUAAAUGUACGGAGGAGGUGGUGAGGGGGAAGGAGGAGGUGGGGACUUGUAAAUGUAUGGGGGAGGUGGUGAUGGGGACGGAGGUGGAGGAGAUUUGUAAAUAUAAGGAGGUGGAGGGGAGGGGGAUGGUGGUGGUGGUGAUUUGUAUAUAUAUGGCGGUGGAGGAGGGGGGGAAGGUGGCGGUGGUGACUUAUAAAUGUAGGGAGGAGGUGGUGAUGGUGACGGUGGAGGUGGGGACUUAUAUACGUAGGGAGGAGGUGGUGAUGGGGAAGGUGGAGGUGGGGACUUAUAAAUGUAGGGAGGAGGCGGCGAAGGUGACGGAGGAGGUGGCGAUUUAUAGAUGUACGGAGGAGGUGGUGACGGGGACGGAGGUGGGGGAGAUUUGUAAACAUAAGGAGGAGGAGGGGAGGGGGAUGGUGGUGGUGGUGAUUUAUAAAUAUAUGGAGGCGGUGGUGAGGGUGAUGGUGGUGGAGGAGACUUGUAAAUAUAUGGUGGUGGUGGCGAGGGUGAUGGUGGUGGAGGAGAUUUGUAAAUAUAAGGAGGUGGAGGAGAGGGGGACGGUGGUGGUGGCGAUUUAUAAAUGUAGGGAGGGGGAGGGGAAGGAGAAGGUGGUGGUGGAGAUUUAUAGAUAUAUGGAGGUGGUGGCGAUUUAUACGAAUACCGUGGAGACGGUGGAGGCGGAGAUUUAUAAAUGUAAGGAGGUGGGGGUGAACUAUAUGUAUACAGUGUUUUGGGGGGAGAAGCAUAAACAUAAGGCCAACUGCCAUGGGCACUUGCACCAGUAGUAGCAGCAACUACACAUAAUGCCGUAACAUAUAACAGGCAGGCCAAAACUGAGGCCAUCUUGAGGCCAAAAAUGAGUUUGGAACUUCUAAGUGAUUAAGAAGUGCAGGAAGGGAUCAUAUAGAAUGCUACUCAAGAGUGUACUUCAUACUGAGAUGAUUUAUUAAGAGCAGAGGCUACCCUUUAUAUAUACUGAUCAAACCUUCGGUACUUGAUCUGUUGAUCAUUAUGUUGAACAAAAGCUGUCGUUUCUGUACACUAAAUGGUGGUUCAAACUGCAUGAAGUAGUCAAAUAAGUAAGAGUUUCGUUAAAGGCCUGCCAGAUGGUAAGAUACACUUAAUGGUAAGAACUUGUCUACUCUGCCGGAUCAGUUUUUAAUUUAAGCAACUGACUUCAGGACUGAGCCAUCAGAUGCACAGCCGCGUCCACACACAAAUAUGUACUGCUGACCAUGCACCUAUUGUUUGAACUUUUAUGUAGUCUUUUCUUUAUUUUGUUAUUUUUAGGGCGGAAAACUAUUUGAAUAAUUCAAGUUCGAUUCUUGAUUCGACUGGUUGAAAAUAAAAAUAAUUUGUGUUCAUGUAAAAAAAAGUGAAUUGGAAUACAAUUAUAUAAUUCGAACAAGUACGAGUCCAAUCCUACCAUUCUCGGUCAUAUUUCUUUAAAGUACUUCAUUUAAUUAAAAAGUACUCAAAUAUACAUAUUUAUUAUAAAUAUUCAAAUCGAAUAAAUAUAUAUCAUUGUAUAAAUAAUAUUUAUAUUAAUAUAAAUAAUAUAUGUAUUAAUAUAAUACUCUACAAAUGAUAUAAUUUUUAUUAGAAUUCUAGGAAUUCAUGAAAUCAUUAAUCUCGAAACAAUUAGUUCAAACAAUUCAUCCUUCUUAAUAAGAUAAAGUCUAAUUUAUUGAUGCAAUGCAUCAUUUUCCAGUAUUAAAAUUUCAAUCGACUUGUUCAGCACAAGAACAUUUUAUCUUCGUGAAUCUUAAUAAUUUCAAUUUAUUACAAUUUUUAAGAUAAAGAGGAAACUUUAUCUUCGAUGAAUGGUCCUCUAUAAUGUAUUAUUUUUCAAGUAUUGAAGUUUCAAUUGACUUGUUCACUCCAACAUUCCUCUCAAAUUAAAUUUAUAUUUCUAUUAUUUUAUAGUAUUCGUCAUUAUUUUUGUACAAUAGACAAUCAUAGAAUUUCUUAACUUUGCUUUGAGUUUUAUAUGAUAUCUAAAUUGGUGGUUGAACUCCACAAAAAUAUAGUAUCACUUGACUCGAUUUUGCUUGAGAGUUGAUUGUAGAUAAGAAAUUGUUUCAAGUCAUUGAUUUCGGGUUGAUGAUUUUAAUGAAUUUUUAGAAUUAUAAUUAUAAUUCUUCCCCAUUUUAACGGCUCGUUUAUGUUAUUAUUAUUCCCUCCAUCCUUCUCAUUUCUUUAUAGUUCUAUUUCUCUCAUGGCACGUAUUUUAAGGUUCUUACUUUUUAUGAAACAUAGUUCCAUAACUUAAUUUCAAGAUUUUAUUUUUGUGUAUAAAAAUUCAAACAUUAAAUUUUUAUUCAGAAAAAAAAUUAAUAUAAUUUAUGAAACUAAAUCUUUUAGAACCAACACAACGCCUUUGUUUAACUACUUCCAAUCAAAGAAUUAAUUACAUGUGUUUAACCGCACACUUUAUUGAUAAAGAUUGGAAGUUGCAUAAAAAAUACUAAACUUUAUUGUUUGUCGAAUUCUUAGUCAUAAAGGUAAGGCAAUUGCAUUGGCAAUCGAGGAGUGUUUGGUGGAGUGGGGGAUAUAUUUAGGGUAUUAUCUGUCACGGUUGAUAAUGCUAGUACUAAUGAUGUUGCAUUGGAUAGGUUAAGAGAUAAAAUUGGUAAUUGGGGUACUAGCGUGUUAAAUGGUGAACACUUACACUUGAGGUGUGUUGCUCAUGUUCUAAAUUUAAUUGUCAAAGUUGGAUUGGGGGUCUUUAAUGAGUCAAUUGUGAUUAAGUAUGUGAGGUAUUCACCCGCUAGGGAGGCAUUGUUUAUGGAAUGUGCAAAGUAUGCGAGAGAAUUGAAAUUCAAAAAUGUUUGAUUCUUGAUGUGGAUACUAGAUGGAAUUCGACAUAUGAAAUACAUGUAUUGAAUUGAUUAACAUGUAGUGAUAGCAAUAGGUGAAGUACAGAAUUAUGUGAGUGUGUGUUAAGACAAUCCGUGCCUGUGUAUUUCUUGACUUGGUAUUCUAAUAAUGAACUGAAAUCUGUAACUCAUGCUCUGUGGUUUGAUAUAUAAGGUGUUCUGGGCAGUUUAAAAGCCUUAUUUGGUGUCAUUUUGCAGCAGCAGCCAAGGGAUGAGCACCAACAGCUUGUAUGUCUCCAACUGGUCAAAUAACUCGGUAGUCAUCAGCAACCGCAGCACUUCAGCAGUGAGCCCUUAAUGCUUAGCAGAAGACAGGAAUUUUUGCGACUAAACUAAAUAUGUGAUAGAUUGUGAUAGACUAAGUUUAGACUUAUGGAGUGUGUUGGUUAAUUUUAAUGGCAUAUGUAGUGUGAAGUGUUGGUUUUUAAUGGCCGGAUGUGUUUAAGCUUUUUUAUUCAGUAAUCAUUCAUAACUUGUAAACUUAUAAUGUCUUUGUCUGUUCUGCUAUUCAAGUUCUUGUGAAAUUUCGGUUUUAAGCUUCGAUUUUCGGUAUUAACCCAAAUAUAAAUUUCAGUUCGGUUUCAAAACUGAAUUAAUUUCGGUUCGGUUUUCGGCAAGGAUUUUUUUAGCUUUCUCUGUUUUUAACCGAAUUUUAAUUCAGUUCGGUUCGGUUCGGUUUUUACCAAAUGCUCACCCCUAAUCAGAAGAAUAAAUGUAAAUAAAUUUAAAAAAAGAGAGAGUAUAUGUAAAUAAGAACUGAUCUUUCUAUAUAUUGAAGAAAUAUAUCAAGAGAGAAUGAGAAAAAAAAUGUAAAAAACGAAAAGGGAGACAAAAAUAAUCAAAUGUAUAAAUUAAAAAAACUAUAGCAACUAAUAAAUUGAGAAUUUUUAUUGAUCGACGUCUAAUAAAUAUGAUACAUUUAAUGGAAAGUUGGGUAUCACAUAGAUAAAGAUACAGCAUAAAUCUAAGUUCUAAACUUGUAUACCCGCGUAUAAAGGAAUAAAUAUUGAACUCAUAUAUAUGUCGUAUCAUGUCACUAACAAACUGUUUAUGCAUGAUUUCAUAGGCCCUUUCAUUUAUUCUUCAACUGGUCGAUUCUAUUUUCUAGCACCCGCCGCAAAUGUAUCAAGGCCUAGGCGGGAGGCGGAGGAGAGGUGUAGGAGUACGGUGGAGGAGAAGAUGGUGGUGGCGGUGAUACGUAUGUAUAUGCUUUUGGAGGAGACACGGAAGGAGGUGGUGGUGAUGGGGACGGUGGAGGCGGUGAUGGUGGUGGUGGUGAUGGUGGGGGUGGAGACGGCGGUGGUGGAGAUGGUGGUGGCGGUGACGGAGGCGGUGGUGGUUUUGCAAUGUGAACUAAAGGCGGCAUUGCUAUUGGAGGUGGUGGAGAUUUGUAGGUGUAAGCUUUUGGGGGUGGGGGAGUCUUGUGGACAAUGGGGGAUGGAGAAGGAGAUGGUGGUGGUGGUGAUUCCUUAGGUGAUGGUGGGGGUGGUGAUUUUUCGGGUGAGGGAGAUGGUGGCGGCGGUGACUCUUUGGGUGAUGGUGGGGGUGGGGAUUCCUUGGGUGAUUCUUUGGGUGAUGGAGAUGGUGGUGAUUUGACAAUGGGCGAAGGAGAUGAAGAUGGUGGUGGAGUUUUAUAUGUUGGAAAUGGUGGGAAAGUAGGUAGAGGUGGGGGCUUGAAAUGAGGCGGAAAAUUAGGAUGUUUAUGAUGUGGUGGAGGCUUGAAGGUAAAUGGAGAUGGUGGGGAUUCUAUCGGAGGAACUGAUCCUGGUGGUGGCGGUGGACAUGUGUUAAUAUAAUGAGGUGGACCCGAGUAUGACGGUGGUGAUGGAGUUGGUGAGGGGGAACUUUUCGGGGGAGAUUUAUAGACGUAAGGUGAUGGUGAAGGUGAGGGAGAUGGUUGUUCUUUGGAUGGAGAUGGGGGAGAUUUGUAGACGUAAGGCGAUGGAGGAGAUUCAGUUGGGGGUGUUGAUGGUGAACUUGAUGGAGGGGGUUUGUAGGUGAAGGGCGAUGGAGGAGUUUCGGGGGAAGAUGAUGUUGGAGGAGGUGUUAGGCAUGCAUUGAUCGGAGGUGAUGGUGGAGGAGGAGGUGUUAGGCAUGCAUUGAUCGGAGGUGAUGGUGAUGGUGAAGUUGAUGGCGGAGACUUAUAGACGUAAGGAGAUGGAGGAGAUUCUUUUGGUGCCGGAGAUGGAGAUGGUGGAGAUUUAUAUACAAAAGGUGAUGGAGGAGAUUCUUUUGGUUUUGGAGAUGGAGAGGGGGAGGAUGAUGGUGGAGAUUUGUAGACAAAAGGAGAUGGAGGGGAUUCUUUAGGAGUUGAAGGAGAAGAGGGUGGUGGUGGGGGACAAGUGUUGAUAUAGUGAGGUGGAGCUUCAUGUGAAGGUGUUGAUGGACUUGGUGAUGGAGAGGAUGAUGGUGGAGAUUUGUAGACAAAAGGGGCAGGACCAGAUUCAGUUGGUGGAGGUGGUGAGACAUACACGUAUUUUUUAGGUGGUGGAGGUGGUGAGACAUACACGUAAGGAGCUUUUUUAGGUGGUGGUGGUGUAGAUGCAACCAGGGGUGCUGGUGGAAUUUCCUUAACUGGUGGAGGUGGGGAGAGAAAGAGGUGAGGUGGAGGCGGGGAAGGUGAAGGUGGAGGCGGGGAAGGUGGUGGUGAAGGCGGGGGAGGUGAGGGUGGAGGUGGCGAAGGUGGUGGUGAAGGCGGGGGAGGUGAGGGUGGAGGAGGCGAAGGUGGUGGUGAAGGCGGGGGAGGUGAGGGCGGAGGAGGUGAAGGUGGUGGAGAAGGCGGUGGAGGUGAAGGUGGAGGAGGCGAAUGUGGUGGUGACGGUGGUGGAGGUGAAGGAGGGGGCGGCGAAUGCACUGGCGGUGGUGGAGAGGGAGUCGAUGGUGGUGGCGGAGAGGUAUAAGUAUACGGCGGAGGGGAGGCCGGUGGUGGUGGAGAAACAUAACUAUAAGCUGGCCUCCCUUCCACCGCAAAACUACUCAAG